GGUGCGCAUGCUCAGUGCAGCCAAAGUAGCAAAUCUGGAGCGGUUCAUGUUUCUGUAGUUACAGCGGCGGAGAGGCACCGAUCGCGGGGCUACCGAGGGGGCGGAAGAGCGGGGCGCUGCGCUGCGCCCCCUUCCUGGCGCUGGGGGGACGGUGGAGGAGCCCAGCGGCUGCGAGGUCCCGGAGACGGGGACCCCCGGAGGAAGAUUGCCGAGAAACGCCCCCGAACCUCCCCCCCGCUCCGUGGAAUUGCGGGGUCCCCCCCUACCCCGCAGCAGCCCCGCGUGUGCGCGGGCAGGGCUGGCGGGGCUGAUCUCGCUUGCACGCUGGCUCCCCAGCAUGCCCGGACUGCCUGUCACGCGUGGAUCUAGCCAGAGACACCCCGUCGCCGCGCUGGAGCGGACUGGGCGCCCGGCGGAGACCUCCUGAGAGCCGGGGGUGCUUGGGGGGGGUCGGGGUUAUUCGGAGGGGGGAGCCGGCUUGGACUAUUUUUCUCCCCCUUCCUCUGUUGUAUUUUUGUGUGGGGGGAGGGGAUCCGUUUGGAGAAGCAUCCAGCGGGGAGGAAAACAAGCCACCCGAGGACACCCCCCCUCCCCCGCCCCUGCACACUGCAGGGCAGAGGAUCCGGAGCGAUCCGCGCCAGGUUGAAGCCGACCCCCGAAUCCAGCCCGAGCUCGGCAGACGCUGCCCGCCGGUCUCCAUCGCUCGCUCCGAUCUCCUAACACCUUGUGGGGGGAGGGCGUGGGGGGGGGGGGCAAGGAAAGCGAAAUGGCUCGAGCCGGAGUGGAAUAGGACCAGCUGAAUGGAGCAGCCCGCUGGAAGGAGACCGGAGGCUGGAUCGCUAAAGGCUUGCUGACUGCCGGAUCGUCCCUCCUGUGUGAUGCCGGGAGAGGCCCCGGGCUCGGGCCGGUGAGAGCCGUGCCAGGGAGCGAGCGUGCCAAUCGCCCGGCCGGCACCAUGGCCCGCCUCGCCCACGCCCUCUGGAGCCUCUGCGUCACCGCCAUCCUCGUCACCUCAGCCACACAAGGCAUGUGCAGAUAAACCCUGAAAUGGCAGAUGCCCCAGAGGUGGACCCUGCCCUCGGAACAGUGGGAGAAAGCGAGCUUGUCCCAAUUGACUGCCUUGAUUAUGAGGAGAACAGCACCAUCAU
Long non-coding RNA from Mauremys reevesii (Reeves's turtle), 1148 nucleotides. RefSeq lists it as uncharacterized. Lineage: Eukaryota; Metazoa; Chordata; Testudines; Geoemydidae. The transcript has 3 exons. The record is from RefSeq and is a predicted model, not a curated record.